This 728-nucleotide ribosomal RNA is filed under the name uncultured archaeon. Its description in RNAcentral is "bacterial SSU rRNA". It matches the Rfam family "Archaeal small subunit ribosomal RNA", at positions 581 to 1307 of the family's 1478-position model. The record is from RNAcentral.
AUACUGCUGGCCUUGGGACCGGGAGAGGCGGAGGGUACCCCUGGGGUAGGGGUGAAAUCCUAUAAUCCCAGGGGGACCGCCAGUGGCGAAGGCGCUCCGCUGGAACGGGUCCGACGGUGAGGGACGAAGGCCAGGGGAGCGAAACCGGAUUAGAUACCCGGGUAGUCCUGGCUGUAAAGGAUGCGGGCUAGGUGUCGGGCGAGCUUCGAGCUCGCCCGGUGCCGAAGGGAAGCCGUUAAGCCCGCCGCCUGGGGAGUACGGCCGCAAGGCUGAAACUUAAAGGAAUUGGCGGGGGAGCACUACAAGGGGUGGAGCGUGCGGUUUAAUUGGAUUCAACGCCGGGAACCUCACCGGGGGCGACGGCAGGAUGAAGGCCAGGCUGAAGGUCUUGCCGGACACGCCGAGAGGAGGUGCAUGGCCGCCGUCAGCUCGUACCGUGAGGCGUCCACUUAAGUGUGGUAACGAGCGAGACCCGCGCCCCCAGUUGCCAGUCCUCCCCGCUGGGGAGGAGGCACUCUGGGGGGACCGCCGGCGAUAAGCCGGAGGAAGGAGCGGGCGACGGUAGGUCAGUAUGCCCCGAAACCCCCGGGCUACACGCGCGCUACAAUGGGCGGGACAAUGGGAUCCGACCCCGAAAGGGGAAGGGAAUCCCCUAAACCCGCCCCCAGUUCGGAUCGCGGGCUGCAACUCGCCCGCGUGAAGCUGGAAUCCCUAGUACCCGCGUUCAU